UACCAGCACCCCGAGUGGUCGGGACGAUUAUUGGGCCUAAAGCAUCCGUAGCCGGUUCUACAAGUCUUCCGUUAAAUCCACCUGCUUAACAGAUGGGCUGCGGGGGAUACUAUAGAGCUAGGAGGCGGGAGAGGCAAGCGGUACUUAGUGGGUAGGGGUAAAAUCCGUUGAUCCAUUGAAGACCACCAGUGGCGAAGGCGGCUUGCCAGAACGCACUCGACGGUGAGGGAUGAAAGCUGGGGGAGCAAACCGG
This 253-nucleotide ribosomal RNA is filed under the name uncultured bacterium. RNAcentral's name for it is "partial 16S ribosomal RNA". It matches the Rfam family "Archaeal small subunit ribosomal RNA", at positions 474 to 727 of the family's 1478-position model. The record is from RNAcentral.